This 711-nucleotide long non-coding RNA is filed under the name Pongo abelii (Sumatran orangutan). Its description in RNAcentral is "lincRNA". The stretch from base 12 to 85 matches the Rfam family "mir-1247 microRNA precursor family". Lineage: Eukaryota; Metazoa; Chordata; Mammalia; Primates; Hominidae. The record is from RNAcentral.
CAGCCCCGGCCGCUGGGCGCACCCGUCCCGUUCGUCCCCGGACGUUGCUCUCUACCCCGGGAACGUCGAGACUGGAGCGCCCGAACUGAGCCACCUUCGCGGACCCCGAGAGCGGCGGCGCGACUCACCGCGGAGGCGCCCGGACGCGUCAAACCCAGCCCAAUAGGAAGCACCUGAUCCACACUCUUUCUAGCCCCAGAGAUGCUCAGGAAAGCAGCUCUUCUUUAGGGCUGUCAUCUGUUCUGGGGAUCUGUUGCUGUUCCUUGGGCCCACAGAAUACACUCCAUACCUCGGGACUCCAUAAUAUUGGACAAGGCUGGAAGGCCCAUUUGGAUCCUGCAGCCUCUUGUGCAGGAGGACCUCCUGAGGCUUCACGCAGGAGCUGGUGCACACCUGGAGGAGAGUGCUGGUGAACGGCAGGUGUGUGCCUCAGUGUCCUUGCUGCCUGGGUGUCAGCCCUGCUUCACCACUGGCCCUUUGUCUCUGUCCCCUCCACUGGCCUCUUGAAGCACAGAGACCCUCCAGUCAUCCUCUUCAGCGGUCCUCCCAGAGCUGUCCUUGGCAUGGCAGCCUCCACAGCCCCAGGUGUCACCCCCGGUUUCAUGUCUGCCUCGUACUCCAGACCUGUCCCUCCCAGGCUGGCCCAGAUGGAUCCUCUGCAGUGACUAACCCGAACCAGCACUGGGCAGGGACCCAAUAAACCUUUGUGAA